RNAcentral lists this long non-coding RNA (347 nucleotides) under Brassica rapa (field mustard). RNAcentral describes it as "long non-coding RNA (BRAP_LNC007818)". Lineage: Eukaryota; Viridiplantae; Streptophyta; Magnoliopsida; Brassicales; Brassicaceae. The record is from RNAcentral.
AGAUCCUGUGGUAAUUCUCGUAAGCGGUGUUGUUAUGCUUGAUUCGUUUAGCUAAACCGCUAAGAAAAUCCUUCAUCAACACACAUCCAAAAGCAGGUCCGUUACCGAUAGUAACCCGAUCAGGCUGCACGAUGAUUGCCUUCUCCUUCUUGAGAAGCAGAGAGUACCCAACGGAGCUGUAAUCAUUAAAGAUAGGACCCGCGAAGAGAUACGCAUCAGCAGACUCAACAAUCUCAGCGCAAAACGCAGUACUCACAGCUCCCCAAUACGUGCCAAUGAAGUGCUUAUGAUGCUCAGGCACCUGCCCCUUAGCAGAUGGCAUCACAGCGACACCAUACCCAGAAGCA